CUCCAUGGCAACAGAGGCAGAAGAAGCAAGCAUCAACUGUGGCAUCAAGCAUUUAAGCUAAUUAGGAAACAAAUCAUAAACCAACCGACAUAUGAGAAAGGCGUUUCUACGUGCAUAUGAGGAAGCUUCUCUGUGUAUAUGUGGCCGAGCCGUGGGGCUGAUGCCUUGUUCUGGCUGUGCUCCAGCAGCGUCGCUGUUGAGGAAUCACAGAUUCCUAAUGGACUGGGUCAUGCGACCUGUGUGAUACCAACUGCCUGACCUCCGUCUUCACCGUGUCCCUGCCUCUUGGCUCUGCCUGUCUUGUCCGCAAGACCGGCGCCAGCUCAGUCCCUACUCUGCUACCAGAAAGGACUUCCUAGAUGAAUCAGGAUCCCACUUGCACUUCCUUUCUCCUCAUUAAA
Molecule: long non-coding RNA, 401 nt
Organism: Zalophus californianus (California sea lion)
Lineage: Eukaryota; Metazoa; Chordata; Mammalia; Carnivora; Otariidae
Exons: 3
Source: RefSeq, a predicted model, not a curated record